GAUGAACGCUGGCGGCGUGCCUAAUACAUGCAAGUCGAGCGAACGGACGAGAAGCUUGCUUCUCUGAUGUUAGCGGCGGACGGGUGAGUAACACGUGGAUAACCUACCUAUAAGACUGGGAUAACUUCGGGAAACCGGAGCUAAUACCGGAUAAUAUUUUGAACCGCAUGGUUCAAAAGUGAAAGACGGUCUUGCUGUCACUUAUAGAUGGAUCCGCGCUGCAUUAGCUAGUUGGUAAGGUAACGGCUUACCAAGGCAACGAUGCAUAGCCGACCUGAGAGAGUGAUCGGCGACACUGGAACUGAGACACGGUCCAGACUCCUACGGGAGGCAGCAGUAGGGAAUCUUCCGCAAUGGGCGAAAGCCUGACGGAGCAACGCCGCGUGAGUGAUGAAGGUCUUCGGAUCGUAAAACUCUGUUAUUAGGGAAGAACAUAUGUGUAAGUAACUGUGCACAUCUUGACGGUACCUAAUCAGAAAGCCACGGCUAACUACGUG
Molecule: ribosomal RNA, 497 nt
Filed under: uncultured bacterium
Lineage: Bacteria
Description: partial 16S ribosomal RNA
Rfam family: Bacterial small subunit ribosomal RNA
Source: RNAcentral